UAGAAAGAGAGGGAAAGACUGCGGGUGGAAGAAUAGAGAUGGCGGAGCCAGAGGUGGAGGUUCAUACAAAUUGGAAAAGUACUAUGUAUUCCAUGAAGAAAAAGUACAAGAAAAAUCCAGCAUGACACAAUACUUUUAUUCAGUUUGGUUGUAUACUCUGCUCAUAGUAGGAACUUCACAAACUGCUACCUUGUGUUACAAUCCUCAAAAGUUUGUCUAUUACCACAACCAACCGUGAUUAAGGUUUUUGUUGUUUGCAUAUAGUUUAUAAGCUUGUCAAUACUAGAUAUCAAUCAUGACAGAGGGAUGUUAGAAGUGCUCUAAAAUGUUGCUCAGUAGGAGUGAGAUGGGCCUUUGAGAAUGUUGCACGAAGAUGUUGAAAAUUAAGCAUCAUAAUUUGGCCUUCCUCCAAAAAAGAUCUCUGCUAGUCGAGCAUUUUAUUCUGAAAUCAACAUCAACACCUGCACUUCAGAAACAUGAUUUCUCUACUAAUUAGUGCUGUAUCACUGCACAGUGCUUCGGAGUCUAUCACAUGCAAUCGACCCUGCAAGGUACAUCCUCAUUACAAAUUUCUCGAGUUAUUUGAAUCUUUAAGCUGAUGCUUGAUGCUAAUUUAUAAGUUGAAAUCAAGAUGGUUUAGCCUUGUGAAAGCUAUCGUGUUCUCAGCUUAGGAUGCAUAUAUUCUAAUCUAUUAUCCUCCUGUCACGUAGUAAACCAUCCAUGAUAUUGCUAGAUAACGGUAGAGGGCACAG
Long non-coding RNA from Musa acuminata AAA Group (dessert banana), 752 nucleotides. RefSeq lists it as uncharacterized. The transcript has 4 exons. Lineage: Eukaryota; Viridiplantae; Streptophyta; Magnoliopsida; Zingiberales; Musaceae. The record is from RefSeq and is a predicted model, not a curated record.